CGGGUAGUUAGUGGCGCACGGGUGCGUAACGCGUGGGAAUCUGCCCCUUGGUUCGGAAUAACAGUUGGAAACGACUGCUAAUACCGGAUGAUGACGUAAGUCCAAAGAUUUAUCGCCGAGGGAUGAGCCCGCGUAGGAUUAGGUAGUUGGUGUGGUAAAGGCGCACCAAGCCGACGAUCCUUAGCUGGUCUGAGAGGAUGAUCAGCCACACUGGGACUGAGACACGGCCCAGACUCCUACGGGAGGCAGCAGUGGGGAAUAUUGGACAAUGGGCGAAAGCCUGAUCCAGCAAUGCCGCGUGAGUGAUGAAGGCCUUAGGGUUGUAAAGCUCUUUUACCCGGGAUGAUAAUGACAGUACCGGGAGAAUAAGCUCCGGCUAACUCCGUGCCAGCAGCCGCGGUAAUACGGAGGGAGCUAGCGUUAUUCGGAAUUACUGGGCGUAAAGCGCACGUAGGCGGCUUUGUAAGUAAGAGGUGAAAGCCCAGAGCUCAACUCUGGAAUUGCCUUUUAGACUGCAUCGCUUGAAUCAUGGAGAGGUCAGUGGAAUUCCGAGUGUAGAGGUGAAAUUCGUAGAUAUUCGGAAGA
Molecule: ribosomal RNA, 585 nt
Filed under: uncultured Sphingomonas sp.
Lineage: Bacteria; Pseudomonadati; Pseudomonadota; Alphaproteobacteria; Sphingomonadales; Sphingomonadaceae
Description: bacterial SSU rRNA
Rfam family: Bacterial small subunit ribosomal RNA
Source: RNAcentral